RNAcentral lists this ribosomal RNA (468 nucleotides) under uncultured bacterium. RNAcentral describes it as "partial 16S ribosomal RNA". It matches the Rfam family "Bacterial small subunit ribosomal RNA", at positions 28 to 507 of the family's 1533-position model. The record is from RNAcentral.
GACGAACGCUGGCGGCGUGCUUAACACAUGCAAGUCGAACGGAAAGGCCCUGCUUUUGUGGGGUGCUCGAGUGGCGAACGGGUGAGUAACACGUGAGUAACCUGCCCUUGACUUUGGGAUAACUUCAGGAAACUGCGGCUAAUACCGGAUAGGAGCUCCUGCUGCACGGUGGGGGAUGGAAAGUUUCGGCGGUUGGGGAUGGACUCGCGGCUUAUCAGCUUGUUGGUGGGGUAGUGGCGUACGAAGGCUUUGACGGGUAGCCGGCCUGAGAGGGUGACCGGCCACAUUGGGCCUGAGAUACGGCCCAGACGCCUACGGGAGGCAGCAGGGGGGAAUAUGGCACAGUGGGCGGAAGCCUGAUGCAGCAACGCCGCGUGCGGGAUGACGGCCUUCGGGGUGUAAACCGCUGUCGCCUGUGACGAAGCGGGAGUGACGGUAAUGGGUAAAGAAGCACCGGCUAACUACGUG